This is a long non-coding RNA of Herpailurus yagouaroundi (jaguarundi), 854 nucleotides long. RefSeq lists it as uncharacterized. NCBI's taxonomy places the organism in Eukaryota, Metazoa, Chordata, Mammalia, Carnivora, Felidae. The record is from RefSeq and is a predicted model, not a curated record. The transcript has 2 exons.
GCUUUAGCUUGCUGCCAUGGGCCCAGUUAGAGCUACUACUAUGGGAGAAGGGGAAUAUGGACACUGACAGAGUGAUGGGACAAAUGGCACUCUGUCACUGUCGACCUUUCUGGAUGCCUAAGUGUCAAUGCACUCCUGCCUUCCCACGCAGCAUACACACUCACACCUCUUCAGAUGAGACAUCGUAAAAGGCUCGCUCUGGUUAAUGGCUAGGAUCUCAAGCUGCUAUGCGUUCUCCUCCCUCAAGUCUGCAGGUGGCUUCUCAUGAUCUGAUGACCUUCUGUGGACCAGAGAACCACGUACCAGUGACAGAUCCCAGGGAAGGGCUCCAGCUCCAUGGAGGACAGCAAGGGUCAUCGCCAUGCCAACCACCGGGAAUAGAAGGAAAUGUCCCUCCUGGCACCGAGGGACAAAAAUCACCAACUGUGGAAAACCUGAUUCUUGAUCAGUGAAACUUUCAAGGACAGAUCUUGAUCAAAAGGGAGAAAUGUGAAAAUAGGUAAAGGAAACCUCAUUUAUCAUGAAGCUGGGGAGCCCUGAAGGGGCAAUUCUCACGCAUACACAUUUGUCGCAGUCUAAUAGCCAGCAGGAAGAAGGAAGAUCCCUCCCUGUCCCAGAAACACUGCACUAACCGCCACUUACAGCCGAUAAGAAAUCACCAGGACUCAUGUUCUUUUCGGUGAAUUUUUGUUCAAAACAACUCUUCUCAAUUUCCUCUUAAAACCUAAUAAAAGUUGACUUUCCCUUUGUCUCUUCAGACUCCUCUAUGUUUUCCCCAUAGUUUGAUUUUCUCAAAUUGCGCUUUCUCAGCUAUUCUCAAAUAAACUCAUUUUGCUAAUAAAAUAACUGGCUAA